AAAGCUAAACCAAUUUCAUUUUAACAGCAAUUUGAGUUACUCCACCAAACACUAGUCAGAGAUCCUAAUUAAUACUAAGUGUUUCUUUUAGAAAAAGGGACUUUUGAAAAAAAGAAAAAGGGCCUUUUGAAAAAACUAAACCAAUUUCAAUUUGAGUUGCUCCACUAAGCACUAAAAUUUUGCAACAGGUAUAUUAGCUCUUUCAUGAUUUUUGUUUUAUUUGAACCUCUGCUUCAACAUGAGUCCACCAAGCACUACAUAUCAUUAGUAAUAGAAAUAAUUACAAAUGUCCUUUUAGAUUAAACAUAAACUGCACUAACAUCCUUUAAUUUUUAAAAAUAUACACUAUCAUCCAUCCUUUAAUUUUUAAAAAAUACACUUUCAUCCCUCGAGUACUAAAUUUCAUUAAUAGUAGGGGUAAUUACCAGUGCCCCUUAGGUGAGACAUAAUCUAUACUCGCGUCCUUUAGUUUUUAAAAAUAUACACUUUCUUCUCUCAUUUUUAUAUGUCGUUCAUCGUUCUCAUGAUACGAUCUGUGGCUAUUGAUCGGCGAUAGGGAAUAAGUAGGCAUAAAGCCACCGAAACCCCAUAGCAAGCAUGACUAAUCACUAACUCAAUGAAAUUAUAAAACUAUUUCAUUACUAAUUUUUGACCACCCAAAUACUAUAUAUAUUUAAAUCAAUCUGUCAGCACAAUUAGGUAAUAUGUCAUCGGUUGGUUACAUGCUAAAACAAAAUAAUAAGUUUUAAAAUCACUAUUGCGAAGAAUCUAGAAUUCUAAUAAUCAGACAUAUAAACAAAAAUUAAUUACAUUAAACCCGAAAAUAAAGGAAGUCGGGCUGUCAAAGGAAAAGAAAUGCGAAAAACCUAACAGACACCUGAAAAAUAAAAUUUGAGACUGUCAGUCUCGACAGUGAGUUAAAAUCAUGUAAUCCAAAAAUAAAUACAACUAUCUUAAUAGAAUAUUUAUUUAAUAAAAAAAAUUAUAUUAUAUUAAAACGCGUGUCAUGUCAUGAUUUUAAAAAAUACAAUUUAAACGUUUAUGGGACGAGUACCUUAGCAGAAGCUUAAACUCCAAUUCUAUUAGUGAUUCGGCUCUAUUAUUCCAAUAAGACUAAUUCUCAGAUAGCAAAACUUGACAAGGAUCCUUAACUCCAGUCUGGUCAAUUAAUUUCCAAUAUAACCGGCACCUAGAGAGCAAUGCUCGACCAAGGACCUUUUCUCCGGUAAUCAAAUUUUCAUAAGCUCAGAGAGCUAUGCUCGACCAAGAUACAUCACAAGAAUAUUUUCCUAUUACCCGGUCUGAUAUACGAUGAUACGCACACGGUCCUGAUGCAACCCAUUAAAUAGUAUGUUCUACUAUCGUCUCAUCUCGAGUCAUGAUACAACCAUAACAUUAAUAAUGUGAAAAAUGGCAUAAAUCGCACACAAUCUUAAUAUUAUUCAAUAAUUUAUUAAGUAUUAGAAUCAAAUGGCAUUGAGUAUAGCAGAUAUAAAGAUUAAAUGCAGUACUAUCAAUAAUAAUAAUAAUAAUAAUAAUAAAUAUAAUGGUAAAAAUAAUAAUAAUGAAAAUAUCAAUAACGAAAAUAAAAUUAAUAAUAAUAAUAAUUAUAAUAAUAAUUAAUAAAAAAUAUUAUAUUUAAAUUAGACAUGACAUAUGUCCGGUGAUUAUAUAAUUUUAACUCACAAAUAUGAUGUUUUCUUAUGCACCGUCCACACGUCCAAUGUAGUUAGAUUAGACAAAGAAUCUAAAAUCUACAAGUAAUAAUUAAUAUUUUUUUUCAUACUAUAUAAAAUAGUCAACCUAAUUCUAGACUUUUAAAAAAUUACAGGUUGAUCCUAUGAAAAUUCCGCUUAACAACAUUGAUAGGUGAUAACAAAAUUUUAUCCAAAAUUAUGACUCAAGAGCCUCUAAUAUAAUACUAUAAUCAUAAAUUAUUAUUCUUAAAUUAGUAUCAUAAAUUUUUCGAUUUUGUAUAAAAUAAUAAUAAUAAUAAUUAAAUUAAUACUUCAAAAAUAAUAAACCGCUAACAGAAUUUUCUAACUUUAAUAAUUAAAUCAAUAAAUUAAAUCUUCAUAAUUAAUUCUUAAUCAAACUCAAUUUAAUCUCUAUUUAUCAAUUUAUCACUAAUUAUUCAUAAUUAAUUAUAACGAUUUCUAAUUAUUAAAUAACUAUGUAAAAUAUAAAUAUAAAUAAUUAACUAAUUUACUAUACUGAGCUGAGAAAUUAAUACAGAAUAGCAACCCAAACGUCUGAAAAUAAAAUCAGAAUUUCACCCGUCGGCACGCAUCUCGAGGUCACCGGGCCUGAUCGCCUAAAUAUUUUCAAAGGCGAUGAAAAUUUGAUCCGAGCACACCAAAGGAAAGCCCACAAUCUCAGAAGUCCAGAUGUACAAUUAUUUUUACCAAAAAGUGGCUGAAAAGUUUUAUAUCGCCAUUUAAAGUUUUAACACUGGCGAGCUUGAUCAACGGUGAAAUGGAGGAGAUCGGAGCUGAGCUUCACUGUUCUAAGGUUUUUCGACAUGAGGAACUCAUUUUUGGGGUCUGAUCGGCCAAAGGAGGUAGGCAAGAUGUUAAAUCAGCAAUGGCAACAGUGAGAGAUGUUUUCUCCCUCUUUGAAGCACGCGAAACGACAACUCUUGAUGUUGCUUGGCGCCGGCGAGGGGUGGAGCGAGACAAUGAUGGCCUCAAAUGGAUAUUAGAUGGUAAAAGGGGGCUGAUUGUCGGUGAAUGAGUGAAGAAAUUGGUGGUGGCAAUGGUGUAUGACGCUAGAGAAGGAGUGAGGUAGGAGGAAGGCCAAGCUGAAAUUUUUCUUUUUUUCCAAAUUUUAUUUUUGUCCUUCCUUAUAAAAAAACAGGCUAUAGUAACCUUAUUUCUUAUAUAUAUAUAUAUAAUUUACCAAUUGGGGGUUAAAAUGGUAAUUCGUAACUUUGUGUUAAUUAAACAAUAAAUUAUUAACUUCAAAUACGUAGGUCACUGCAAAUAUAU
This 2987-nucleotide long non-coding RNA is filed under the name Ricinus communis (castor bean). Its description in RNAcentral is "long non-coding RNA (RCOM_LNC001583)". Lineage: Eukaryota; Viridiplantae; Streptophyta; Magnoliopsida; Malpighiales; Euphorbiaceae. The record is from RNAcentral.